Brienomyrus brachyistius is the source of this 817-nucleotide long non-coding RNA. RefSeq lists it as uncharacterized. The transcript is spliced from 3 exons. Lineage: Eukaryota; Metazoa; Chordata; Actinopteri; Osteoglossiformes; Mormyridae. The record is from RefSeq and is a predicted model, not a curated record.
GAAUAGCUGUACCAUUGCAUAGCAACAGCAGCGAAGAGCUGCACUGAGGACAGACCCACGUAAUAGAGCAAUUUGCACAGAUGUGUCUGCCUAUGGACAUGGAGUAGGUGCACGCCUGACUGUGUGUCUGCCUAUGGACAUGGAGUAGGUGCACGCCUGACUGUGUGUCUGCCUAUGGACAUGGAGUAGGUGCACGCCUGACUGUUUGUGUGUCUGCCUAUGGACAUGGAGUAGGUGCACGCCUGACUGUUUGUGUGUCUGGAUCCUCUACUCCUCACAUUCACUACAGGGGCACCAAACCAUCAGGUAACACAACGUGGCACCAGUUACACACACGAGCACCGAGGAGCCGAGUGCUGUGUUCCUGUAGAUCCUUACUUCACUGCUCCUGCCUAAAGAGGAGAGACCAGCCGUACUUAGCAGGGUGUCGUGUUCAAACCCUGGCUUGUGUCCUUUUUCCGCUCUUACUGUCGGUGUCUCCGGGGAGCAUUCGGGGGGGUUGCUGAGCCUUAUAAAGCCCUGUGCUGCCCAUGAGCUCCCGAUUCCCGGGGUUAAAGCGGCGGAUGUGGUUUGGUGGUUUCCUGCAUCAGGCAGUUUUUGUACUCUGGGUCACUGUCUAAAUCUACAACUACAGCCCCUUCCUGAUGCUGUUGGUCACAGUUCUACUCCAACACUUGAUGCUACUUACUUUUUGGAUUAUCGAAUGUUCAAAACUCGUGCUUUUUGACACAGACAGUAGUAAUAAUGUAGCACAGCAGGAGCUAAAUGACGUCAAAGGGGUAAAGCAGGCCUAAGAGAAUCCCACCCUGCCCCCCUC